CGUGUAGGCGGUUUCAUAAGUCAGAGGUGAAAUCCAGUGGCUCAACCAUUGGCCUGCCUUUGAAACUGUGAAACUUGAGGCUGUGAGGGGAUAGCGGAAUUCCUGGUGUAUCGGUGAAAUGAGUUGAUAUCAGGAGGAACACCGGUGGCGAAGGCGGCUAUCUGGCGCAGUACUGACGCUGAGGCGCGAAAGCAUGGGGAGCAAACAGGAUUAGAUACCCUGGUAGUCC
This 229-nucleotide ribosomal RNA is filed under the name uncultured bacterium. Its description in RNAcentral is "partial 16S ribosomal RNA". It matches the Rfam family "Bacterial small subunit ribosomal RNA", at positions 568 to 796 of the family's 1533-position model. The record is from RNAcentral.